RNAcentral lists this long non-coding RNA (5377 nucleotides) under Sus scrofa (pig). RNAcentral describes it as "lncRNA (ENSSSCG00000058376.1)". The record is from RNAcentral. Lineage: Eukaryota; Metazoa; Chordata; Mammalia; Artiodactyla; Suidae.
GGCUUGGAUCUGGCAUUGCUGUGGCUGUGGUGUAGACUGGCUGCUGCAGCUCCGAUUUGACUCCUAGCCCAGGAACUGAAAAAAAAAAAAAAAAAAAAAAAAAAAAAAAUCUACAGGUGCAGCUGCAAAAAGAACAAAAAGAAAUCUGCGCUCUGUUCCCAGCUUGGAUACAUGCAAAUUUAGACAAUUCUUCAGGAAUUUAGACUCACCUUCCUCACCUGUGAAUAGGGCAUAUUAAUAUUUUUUGCCCCAUAGGAUUGUUAUGAGAGUUACAUUUAAGUAUAUGAAGGUCUUGGCAUAGAGCUUAUCCUUCAUUAAAUGUUCAUAGGGAGCAACUACAGUUAGUACUAUGAGGCUGGCCCCUCUUUCCUCAAUUUGCCAAAGCAACAGGACACAACUUCCUUCUCGUGUCACCUGAGGUCCUCCUUCAGUCCCCCGUAUCUUCCAUUACACACAGCUUCAUCAUCGGCUUCUGUGAGAAGGAGGAGGAGGCCCCAUUCGCACAAGCCCUGACCUCUCUGCUUUGAGCUCUAUCAUCUCUUACCUCACCUCAAAACCACAGUGCAAAAUUCUCUCUCCCAACCUUCAAGUACUUAUACUUGGAACACAAAAGGCAGCAGCAGAUUCAAAGGAUUAGAAGUCAAAUGGUUGCCAAACCUCAGCCUCUGUCCACCAGAGCUGAAUGUAAAUGUGGAGACAGAGUUUUGGGUAAAGGAAAAAAAAAGUAGCUUUAUUUGCUUGUCAGGCAAAAGAGGCCCCAGCAGGCUAAUGCCCUAAAGACUGUGCUCCCACUUUGGGAGAGAAUAGAAAGUGGUUUUAUAGUUUGAGAGUAGAAAAUAGGGCCACAGGGAGUUCCCGUCAUGGUGCAGUGGUUAACGAAUCCGACUAGGAACCAUGAGGUUGCGGGUUUGAUCCCUGGCCUCGCUCAGUGGGUUAAGGAUCCGGCAUUGCUGUGAGCUGUGGUGUAGGUCGCAGACGAGGCUCGGAUCCUGCGUUGCUGUGGCCCUGGUGUAGGCUGGUGGCUACAGCUCCAAUGAGACCCCUAGCCUGGGAACCUCUGUAUGCCGCAGGAGCGGCCCUAGAAAGGGCAAAAAGACAAAAAAAGAAAAUAGGGCCACAGGGUAGAUGCAAGCUUUCAUCCUCCUUCAAAGCUGAUGUUUAGGGGCCCUAGGACUGGUUCUGGUGGUCCUCCUCUCUGGCUUUCAUUUGUUGGCAGUUUUAAUUCUUCAAAAGAACUCAAAGAUAUUGUUAUGCAUAUUCCUUGAGGAAUAUGCAUAACAAAGCUGCACUGUUGUUUCUUGACUGUUCCUCCUGGUCUCCCUUAGGAAAGGCCCUUUCCUAAUUAGCAACUGUUUAAACCUGCCCUUUGGAACUAGGGAAGGUCGUGGAGGCUAAAGCUUAUUCCCUAAAGACAGAAAAUGGGGGACACAGAAAUGUUUGUGCCCAGGAGGCCCACAGGGCCCUGCUUGGUUUCAACUGGUAAUCAUGCAUCUCAGAAACCCUGUAAGAAGCAAGUUCAAGGUAGGCUGGAGGGCUUGGGCUCAGUUUCUUGGAGGAAAAAAAGGUGUAGAACCAGAGAUAGGACCUGCUUCAUGGGGGUGUUAACAUCUGCCAACACACAACACCCCAGUGCUUAGAAGGACCCUAUUCUGCAGUUGCCAUCAUAAAAUUCUUACUUUUUAAGACUCCAUAUUUUUAUUUUGCACUGGGCCCCCCAAAUUAUAUAGCUGGUCCUAUCAAGAGGAAAGGAAGGGUAGAAUUGAAGACUGAGCUGACUCCCUAUAUUGGUUCUACUCCAUUCUAGAAAUGUGACCGUGCAUGAACUCACCAUUUAUCCUACACACAUUUUAUGGAUUGCCUUCUACACGCCAGCCACAGGGUUCUCAUUUAUAAAAUGGGUAUGAUGACAAUAUUUACCUUAUCGUAACAAUAUUUACCUAUUCUGUUUUGAGAAACAAAGUGUGCAUGAAGGCACUUAGCACUAUCAGGAUACAUACGCACCUGAUAGACGCAAAACGCAAUAAAGAGGAUGGUUGGCUACAAAUAUAAGGACCAAGGGAAUCCUUUCCUCCUGAGGGUCACAUUUUUUCCUGCAGAGAGGAGGAGGUGUUCCCUUACCCACCCUGAGAUGUUACAAGUUAGAAGGUGGGAAAACUGUGACCAGGGUACCAAAAGGUUUAAGGAUGAGAGAAUAAAGGAUAGGGAAGGAGAAAUAGUCUUAUCUUUAGAAUUGCUAAGAACUCUUGGGAUUUGAGCAGGUUUGGCCUUUGAAAGUAGACAAGACACAGAAGGCAGCUCUGUGGAGGGAACAGCAUGGACUAAGCCCCAGAGAUGGGAUCGUGAGAACAGCACUCAGGAAGUGGCCAACGAACUACCUAGAAUGGGUGUAAAUCUCCCACAAGAUGUUGGCACACUAGAGAAACAGGUUUUUUCCUUGUCUUCUUUAAAUCAACUUAAAUCUGGCUCCACAUCCCCAACUCACCAGGCCGGCAAGUAUGUCCAUCUCAGUCAUUACUGGAGCUCUCUAUUCAGCCCCCCACCGCCACCCCGGACUGUUCCAAGCCCCACAGGUUUUCAUAGCAUUUCUGGUCACGGGUCCUUGGUCUACACUGGUUGCUGCUGAGAUAUCUCUGCUCCUCUGGGCCUGCAAGGUACCUGUCUGGGGAUGCGGUCUGUAGACUACAGGACACAGAGAGGAGGGAGAAGCAGUGACUCCAUAGCUGAGUUCACCUCUUCAUCCGUGAAGUGACCAGUGAUGUUCAGUCAAUCCUGAAUUCAACAGACCCAAGGGUUGCGAUUAAUUACAACAGAUGAAACAUGCAAAGGACAGAUUGCCUGGGAUAGAUUGGAUGUGUGUACAUGCAUGACUGAAUCCCCUUAUUGUACAGCAGAAAUUAUCACAAACUUGUUAAUCAACUCUACUUCAAUAAAGCUUUAAACAACAAAGGCAACAACAAAUUGCUUAGAGUAUAUAAAUGCACCAUAAGUGGAAGUUGCUAUUAUCAUCAUCUCCAUCCUGCACCCAAUCAAUACACGCUGAAUAAUAACCUUCCCUUAAAGAGAGUCCAGCUUCUUAACAAUGAUAAAAAGCUCUGAAGCUAAAUUACCUAGAUUCAAAUAUCAGUUCAGGUAUUUGGGUCGCUGUGUGGCCCUGAACACCUUACUCGUGUAUCCUCUCUCUGGGCCUCGGUUUCCUUAGCUGUGAAUUGAGGUUCACAUCAGUACCGACCUAAAAGACCUGAUCACCAGUUCCAACACGAGGGGAGGAAGGUGUUGCCAAAUCUUGGUGUCUGUCCACUGGUGCCAUGUAGAAAUGCAAAGACAGAGUUUUGGGCAAAGUAGAAAAAAAUAGCUUUAUUGCUUUGCCAGGCAAAGGAGACCACAGCAGCCUAAUGCCCCAAAGACUGUGCCCUCCUUUGGGAGAGAAUAGGGGGUGGCCUUGCAGUUUUGGGGUGGAAAAUAGGGCCACAGAUAAGGAUUAGGGUAGAUGCCAGCUUUAAUUCUUCUUCAAAGAAGAAGGGUGUUUAGUGGCCCAGAACUGGUUCUGGUGGGCCUGAAUGAAGACUUGAUCAAGUAGUUAACAUCUUUCAGUUGUUGGGGAUUUUAGUUCUGCAGAAGAACCCAAAGAUAUUUUUAUGUAUAUUCCUUGAGGAGAAACUGGAACCCUGCCCCCAGGCUGCACUAUUGUUCCUUGACUGUUCUUCCUUUGUCUCUGCAUCCCCUCCCUUCCCUUGAUUAGCAACUGUUUGAACUUGCCCUUUGGAACUCAGGGAAGGUCUUGGAGACUGAAGCUUAGCCCCUAAAAACAAGAUAUGGGGGACCCGGAAAGGCUUGUGUGCCCAGGAACCCCACAGUUUCCUGCUCAGUUUCAUGAUCACAUUUUACCUUGGGUUAUAUUUCAUUUCUAUCUGUAUUAGUUUGCUAGGAGCGACCAUAACAAAACACCACAGAAUGUGUGGCUCAAGCAACAGACAUGUAUUUCCUCACAGUUCUGGAGGCCAGAAGUGCAAGAUCAAGGUCUUGUCAGGUUGGUCACUUUCUAAGACCUCUCUUCUUGGCUUAGAAAUAGCCAUCUUCUCUCCACCUCAUCACACAGUCUUCCCUCUGGGCCUGUCUGUGAAUUAACUUCCUCUUCUUAUAAGGACACCCAUCAUAGCGUUGCAGGAAGCGGGACUCCUUCCAGGACCCGAGAAUGGGCUCUUGACUAACACUCAGAAAUUAAUUGUUCAAGGAGACACAUGUGCUGACAAAACAGGAGACUUUAUCAGGAAGGGGCGCCUGGGCAGAGAGCAGCAGGAUGAGGGAACCCAGGAGAACAGCUCUGCCACGUGGCUCACAGCCUUAGGUUUUAUGGGAGUGGGGUUAAUUUCCAGGUUGCCUCUGGCCAAUCAUCUUGCUCGGCCCGUAUUCGGUCUGGCCCAGGGACUUUCUUGGUGGCAUGAGCACAUCUCAGCCAAGAUGGAUUCUGCCGCCAAGGAUCCUGGGAUGUUGGAGGUCUCCUCCCUCCUAUGGGCCCCUCCCCGUUAGUCAUCAGGGCAGCACCGUGUUCCUUAUCAGGGCCUCCUAUUGUGAGACAACUCACACAAGCGCUAUUACCAUGCCUGCCCAAGGUAGGCAGUUUCAGUCAAUGGUCCCCUAACAAUAGUAUAUUAGAGCCCACAUUCAUUUUAACUUAAUUACCUCUUGAAGACCCUAUCUCCAGUGUUCCCACUGUGGCUCAGUGGGUUAAGAAUUCUACUAGUAUCCAUGAGGAUGCAGGUCGAUCCCUGGCCUUGCCUAGUGGGAUAAACGAUCCAGCAUUGCCAUGAGCUAUGGUAUAGGUUGCAAAGAGAGCUGGGAUCUGGCAUUGCUCUGGCUGUGGGGUAGGUUGCUGGCUACUGCUCAGAUUCAAUCCCUAGCCUGGGAACUUCCAUAUCCCACAGGCACAACCCUAAAAAGACAAAAAAGGGAAUUCCCAUUGUGGCGCAACAGAAACGAAUCCAACUAGUAGCCAUGAGGAUGUGGGUUCAAUCCUUGGCCUCGUGCAGUGGGUUGAGGAUCCAGCGUUACCUGUGAGCUGUGGUGUAGGUCUCAGACCUGGCUUAGAUCCUGCAUCGGUGUGGCUGUUGUGCAGGCCAACAACUGCAGCUCCAGUUGAAUCCCUAGCCUGGGAAUUUCCGUGUGCCAGAGAUGUGGCCCUAAGAAGCAAAAAUAAAUAAAUAAAUAAAAUUUUAAAAAAUAAAAGACAAAAAAACAAGAUCCUAUCUCCAAGAAGAGUCCCAGUCUGAGGUAGCAGGGAUUAGGACUUCAGCCUAUGAGUGGGGAGCAGGGAUAACACAACUCAACCCUUAGCGUCUGUAACCAAACGAUUUCUCUCUGUAUUUCUGGAAUGCCUAGU